CAGUUUCGUGUGCAUAUUUUACUGUUUUACCGAUUAUGGAUUGAAUGACUGGGAUAUUGAUGCUGUAUGUUUGUCUGUUUGGCAUAAAUUACCGUUUUGCUUGUUUGUAUGUGGAUUGAUGAUGCUGACUGAGGAAAAGGGGAACGAUAGAUUAUGUAAAUGGGUAAUUGUAUAAUGUGGUCAGCCUGACUAGAUAUCCUGGGAGAUGGUGGACGGACCGGGUCCGUAGGAAACCCUACCGGGAUUGUGGUCUCCCAUACGGACGGGGUAUGGAGAUCUUAUGUGUUUUGGUGCCCAUACCGGACGGGGUAUGGGGACGGCCCAUUUCAC
RNAcentral lists this long non-coding RNA (330 nucleotides) under Carica papaya (papaya). Its description in RNAcentral is "long non-coding RNA (CPAP_LNC009237)". The record is from RNAcentral. Lineage: Eukaryota; Viridiplantae; Streptophyta; Magnoliopsida; Brassicales; Caricaceae.